GAACUGUAAGAAAGAUAUGAGAGUUUUGAAAUUGUGGCUGGAGUUCAGCUAAACCCGCAUAUAUUGAUUGUACUGACCUGUGAAUGCUGGUUGGUGUUUGAACUUUGAUUUGAGGAUGAGAAUUUUUUUUUAGUUAACAGAGCAAAUAGUUGUUGAUGAUAUUAAGCAGUACGGGCAAAAACACUUUCUUACCUAAGGAGAUUCUCUGCACUGAGUCAUUGUGAACCUGAUCAGAAACCAAAGAUACAUUUUGAAACAAAAUACUUUUUUUUUUCCACAAUUGAAAACAGUUUCUGGGGGUCUCAACAUAUCCGAGGUAUAUUUUGAUCAGAGCAACUCUCGCAAAUACAUUUUCAGAAAUAGGCAUCUAACUAGAGAUUUUGUCACUUAAUGUGUGGAAAGAAACUCACUUGUGUCAUUGGUUCAUCUUGUGCUUUUUCUUCCGCUUGCCUGUGUAAAAAGAAGACAUUGUUGACAGUUGUAAGCAAGUUACAUAACCAGAUGGAUAAGCUAGAUAUGACAACAAGACCUCUUAAGUUGUUGCCAGUGAGCUCUACUAUCAUUUGAUACUUUUUCUAGCAGUAUGAAUAAUAAUUUGGAUACAUACACCGAAGAUUGUAGGCUGGAUCCGGGACGAGCCACAGGCUCAUUAACGGCGGCCUACGGGCAUCGUGAGAGAGGAAGAGAAAGUCAAGAUGAGAGACAAAUGACUUAUCUCCCUGUGAUCACAUUGGCACGGUAUGACCACCGAAUCCACCAGAAGGUCAUGACAGAUCAGACAUUGAAGCUCCUCAGGCACAGGAAGCGACUCAUCCUGCGGCUCACUCUCCUCUUUGUGCAAAAAGGGAUGUUUCUCUUUCUUGCCCACGGCGUACGCCUGACUGCGAAAACACACAAACAAACAAUGGCUCCUUUCCUUAUUUCCCCCAACUUACAGAAUUAACCAGGCACACUCACGCAUCGAUGGCAGGAAUUGCAAAACGUCCGCAAUUCGUCAACAUGGCUCCUUUAAUGGUGGGGUCAUCCACCUCCACCAGGAAGGAACGAGGAAUGCCGCUGCUCUUUUUAAUCUUUGGAGGAGCGUCGAAAUUUUUAUCCUGUUAAUGAAACACAAAGAAAUGCUCAGUUGACUGAUCUACAAAGAAAAUCCAAUUACUGCAAAUUUUUAAAAAUCUGAUCUUGCUCAUACCCCACUGGAUGGACAUUUCCUAAUAUGGUGUCCGGCGCUUCCACAGCGAUAACAGGUGUAGUUGGCGGGGAGCGCCCCAGCUAUCUUUUUAUUGUAACUAGAGGGACAUAGGGAAAUCAUUGGAUCACUGUGAGCAUACGAAAAUUAAAUAUUUAAGCGAAAAACGGGAACUCA
Molecule: long non-coding RNA, 1363 nt
Organism: Syngnathus typhle (broad-nosed pipefish)
Lineage: Eukaryota; Metazoa; Chordata; Actinopteri; Syngnathiformes; Syngnathidae
Exons: 2
Source: RefSeq, a predicted model, not a curated record